This is a ribosomal RNA of Telopea speciosissima, 3386 nucleotides long. The record is from RefSeq and is a predicted model, not a curated record. Lineage: Eukaryota; Viridiplantae; Streptophyta; Magnoliopsida; Proteales; Proteaceae.
CGACCCGGUCGGCGGGACUACCCGCUGAAUUUAAGCAUAUCAAUAAAGCGGAGGAGAAGAAACUUACGAGGAUUCCCCUAGUAACGGUGAGCGAGCAGGAAGAGCCCGAGCUUGAGAAUCGGGCCUCAUCGUCUGAAUUGUAGUCCCGUAGAAGAGUCUCGGCGAUGGACCGGGCCCAAGUCCCCUAGAAUGGGCCGGGAGAGGUGCAGAGACUCGUCAUGCUGGACCCUGUCACCUGCCACGAGUAUUGUUGGUGAGUGGGUUGUUUGAAUGCAGCCCCAAUCGAGCGAUAAAUUUGGUCCAAGGCUAAAUAUGGGUGAGACCGAUAGCAAACAAGUACCGCAAGGAAAGAUGAAAAAGGACUUUGAAAGGAGUCAAAGGUGCUUGAAAUUAUCGGGAGGAAGCGGAUGGGGGCUGCGUGCGCCUCGGAUGCGGAAUGGUGUAUAGGCUGUUCUUGCUUGACUCGAGGCUUGGACCGAUCACGAGUGUGGCGGCCUAAGCACAGGGUUGUCGCCCUAUGCCCAGAGACGUAUCGUGGUAGGCAGCAUACGCCUUCAUGGCGUGCCAUUAGGCUCUUGCUGCAUCCUUCGGGUAUCGGCUGUUGAGCUCCCCAUUCGACCCGUCUUGAAACACUGAAACCAGGGAGUGACAUGUGUGCGAGUCAGGCGGGCGAGUAAACCCGUAAAGCACAAGGAAGCUAACUAGUGGGAUCCCCUAUGGGUUGCACCGAUGGCGACCUUGAUCUUCUAAGAAGGGUUGAGUGAGAGCAUACCUCGAGACCGAAAGAUGGUAAACUAUGCAGAGCGAGUGAAGCCGGAGGAAACUCUGGUGGAGGCCUAGCAAUGAUACGGACGUGCAAAUCAUUCGUAGACUUGGGUAUAGGGGCAAAAGACUAAUCGAAUAGUCUAGUAGCUGGUUCCCUCUGAAGUUUCCCUCGGGAUAGGCUGGAGCUGCUGAGGCGAGUUCUAUCGAGUAAAGCCCGAUGAUUAGAGGCAUCAGGGCGCAGCACCCUCGACCUAUUCUCAAACUUUAAGCAAUUAGAAUGGUGCGGCUGCUUCAUUGAGCCAUGCCACGAGAUCGAGAGCUCCAAGUGGGCCAUUUUUGGUAAGCGAGAAUUGGCGAUACGGGAUGAACCGGAAGCCGGGUUAUGGUGCGGAUUAUGCGCUAACCUAGAACCCACAAAGGGUGUUGGUCGAUUAAGACAACGGGGCGGUGGUCAUGGAAGUCAAAAUCUGCUAAGGAGUGUGUAACAACUCAUUUGCCGAAUCAACUAGCCCCAAAAAUGGAUGCCCGGCUGAGCGCGCAACCUAUACUCGGCCAUCGGGGCCAACUAUCGGGCCCGAUGAGUAGGAGAAGCUGCACAGCGGUGUGAUGUUAAACCACAGGGCAUGAGCCUAAGUGGAGCGGCCAUCUGUGAAGAUCUUGGUGGUAGUAGCAAAUAUUCAAAUGAGAACUUUGAAGGCCGAAGAGGGGAAAGGUUCCACGUGAGCGGCACUUGCACAUGGGUUAGUCGAUCCUAAAGGAUGGGGAAGCCCGUUAGAGAGCAUGUACACAUGCAUGCUCCGAAAGGGAAUCGGUUAAAAUUCCCAAAGCGGGAUGUGGCGGUUAACGACAGCGUUAGGAAGUCCGGAGACUUUGGUAGGGGGCCUUAGGAAGAGUUAUCUUUUCUAUUUAACAGCCUUCCCACCCUGAAAUGGCUCAGCGAGUAAGGUCUAGUGGCUAGAAGAGCACCGCACGUCGUGUGGUGUCCGUGCACCCCAGGAGGCCCUUAAAAAUCCGGAGGGGCCGAAUGCCCGACCAUGCCAUGGUCGUACUCAUAACUGCAUCGGAGUCUCCAAGGUGAACAACCUGCAGUCAAUGGAACAAUGUAGGCAAGGGAAGUCGGCAAAAUGGAUCCGUAGCCUCGGGAAAAGGAUUGGCUGCGGGGGCUGGGCACGGGGUCCCAGUCCUAAACCCAUUACUUGUCGAUGGACUGCUCGAGCUAUUUCCAUGGCGAGAGCGGUUGCCCAGCGUGCCCGUCGGGGGAUGGAUUAGGAGCGACCCCUCGGGAGCCUUCCUCGGGCGUCAAGCAGUCGACUCGAGAACUGGUACGGACAAGGAGAAUCCGACUAUUUAAUUAAAACAAAGUAUUGCGAUGGUCCCUGCGGAUGCUCACGCGAAGUGUGAUUUUUACUUGAUUGCUCACGAAUGUCAAAGUGAAGAAAUUCAACCAAAAGCGGGUAAGCAGCGGGAGUAACUAUGAGUCUCUUAAAGGUAUCCAAAUGCCUCGUCACCUAAUUAGUAGCGCAUAUGAGUGGAUUAACAAGAUUCCCCCUUUGUCCUGUCUACUAUCCGGUAAGCAAAACCAUAGCCAAGGGAAUGGGCUUGGCGAAAUCAGUGGGGAAAGAAGACCCUAUUGAGCUUGACUCGAGUCCGACUUUGUGAUAUGACUUGAAAGGUGUAGGAUAAGUGGGAUCCCGGGCAAAAGUGAAAUACCACUACUUUUAACUUUAUUUUACUUACUCCAUGAGUCGGAGGUGGGGCUACACCCCUCCUUUUGGACCUAAGGCACUGCCUCGGCAGGCCAAUUUAGGCGGAGGACAUUGUCGGGGGAGUUUGGGUGGGAGGCAAAUCCAUUAAAAGAUAAUGCACGGUGUCCUAAGAUGAGCUCAAUGAGCACAAAAAUCUCGGGUGGAACAAAAGGGUAAAAGCUUGUUUGAUUCUGAUUUCUAGUACGAAUACGAACCAUGAAAGCGUGGCCUAUCGAUCCUUUAGACCUUCAAAAUUUGAAGCUAGAGGUGUCAAAAAAGUUACCACGGGAUAAGCGCUUGUAAGCAGCGUAGCGUUCAUAGCGGCGUUGCUUUUUAAUCCUUCGAUGUCGGCUCUUCCUAUCAUUGCAAAGCAAAAAUUCGCCAAGUGUUGGAUUGUUCACCCACCAAUAGGGAACGUGAGUAUUUCAGGUUUAGACCGAGUAUCGUGAGACAGGGUUAGUUUUACCCUGCGAUGUAGUGUCGCGAUAGUAAUUCAACCUGAAGUGCGAGAGGAGCCCGUUGGUUCACAUAAUUGGUCAUCAGCGCUUGGUUGAAAAGCCAUUGGCGUGAAGCUACCGUGUGCGGAUUAUAAUUGAGCGCCUCUAAGUCGAAAUCCAGCUAAAGAAGCGACAUGCACCGUCGCCCGUUUCAGCUUUGACUUCAUGAUAGGGCCUCCCGACUUCAAGAGGCACAUGUCGUUGGCCAAGCCCCACGUGACGGACGUGUUGCGUGGGGCCGCCUUGAAGCAUAAUUCCUAUCGGGCGAUGGGUAGAAUCCUUUGUAGACGACUUAAAUACGUGAUGGGGUAUUAUAAGUGGCGAAGGAGUGGCCUUCUUACGAUCCACCUGAGAUUCAGCUCAUGUCGCAUCGAUUCGU